GACGAACGCUGGCGGCGCGCCUAACACAUGCAAGUCGAACGGAGCUGAGAGAAGCUUGCUUUUCUUAGCUUAGUGGCGAACGGGUGAGUAACGCGUGAGUAACCUGCCCUGGAGUGGGGGACAACAGUUGGAAACGACUGCUAAUACCGCAUAAGCCCACGAUCCGGCAUCGGAUUGAGGGAAAAGGAUUUAUUCGCUUCAGGAUGGACUCGCGUCCAAUUAGCUAGUUGGUGAGGUAACGGCCCACCAAGGCGACGAUUGGUAGCCGGACUGAGAGGUUGAACGGCCACAUUGGGACUGAGACACGGCCCAGACUCCUACGGGAGGCAGCAGUGGGGGAUAUUGCACAAUGGGGGAAACCCUUAUGCAGCGACGCCGCGUGGAGGAAGAAGGUUUUCGGAUUGUAAACUCCUGUCGUUAGGGACGAUAAUGACGGUACCUAACAAGAAAGCACCGGCUAACUACGUG
This 468-nucleotide ribosomal RNA is filed under the name uncultured bacterium. RNAcentral's name for it is "partial 16S ribosomal RNA". It matches the Rfam family "Bacterial small subunit ribosomal RNA", at positions 28 to 507 of the family's 1533-position model. The record is from RNAcentral.